AAUUGAGGCUCACAAAAACUUGGUGACUCGCCCAAGGUCAUACAGCUUCCUGGUGACGAAGCCCAGGCUCCAACUUGCUUUCCUGGCUCCCCAGUCAGUGUUUGCCCAGCUCUGCCCUGUUCCCUCCUAGUCCCUUCACCCACUGCCGCCUGGAUUCAGCCUGGCUGAGAGGGUGAAGCCAUGUGGCCUUGGUGGCUAAUGGUAGAACAGUUGUCUUGCUUCUCAUCACAUACUUGGUGCCAGUGGGUGGGAGUACUAUGGGCUUCCCAGGCUCAGGGUGUAAUGUCAGCACCUCCCCCCCCCCACCCAGCCACCCGCUGCCCCGACGAGUCGGAACUAUACCGAGAUCCGGGAGAAGCUCCGCUCGAGGCUGACCAGGCGGAAAGAGGAGCUGCCCAUGAAGGGGGGCACCCUGGGCGGGAUCCCUGGGGAGCCCGCCGUGGACCACCGAGAUGUGGAUGAGCUGCUGGAAUUCAUCAACAGCACGGAGCCCAAAGUCCCCAACAGCGCCAGGGCCGCCAAGCGGGCCCGGCACAAGCUGAAAAAGAAGGAAAAGGAGAAGGCCCAGUUGGCAGCAGAAGCUCUAAAGCAGGUGAACCGUGUUUCUGGAAGCCGGGAGCCAAGGCCUGCCAGGGAGAGGCUCUUGGAGUGGCCCGAUCGGGAACUGGAUCGGGUCAACAGCUUCCUGAGCAGCCGUCUGCA
This 702-nucleotide small RNA is filed under the name Pongo abelii (Sumatran orangutan). Its description in RNAcentral is "retained intron". Lineage: Eukaryota; Metazoa; Chordata; Mammalia; Primates; Hominidae. The record is from RNAcentral.